Molecule: ribosomal RNA, 1445 nt
Filed under: uncultured organism
Description: bacterial SSU rRNA
Rfam family: Bacterial small subunit ribosomal RNA
Source: RNAcentral
UGGCUCAGAUUGAACGCCUGCGGCAUGGCUAAAGCAUGCAAGUCGUACGCGAAACCGGCUUCGGCCGGGAGUAGAGUGGCGAACGGGCGAGGAAUGCGUUUCUAACGUGCCCCAAGGUCGAGGAUAGCUCGGGGAAACCCGGGGUAAUACUCGAUGACCCCCAUGGAUCGCAUGGUUCGUGGGGCAAAGGCUUGCUGCCUUGGAUCGGGAAACGCCCUAUCAGGUUGUUGGUGAGGUAGCGGCUCAGCCAUACAAAGGCGGGUAGCGGGUGUGAGAGCAUGACCCGCCGCAUCGGGACUGAGACACUGCCCGGACUCCUACGGGAGGCUGCAGCAACGGAUAUUGGGCAAUGAGCGAAAGCUUGACCCAGCAAUGCCGCGUGCAGGAGGAAGCCCCUCGGGGUGUAAACUGCUGUCAGGGUCUAGGAAGUUCUGACCAAACCCAAAGGAAGGGCCGGCUAACUUCGUGCCAGCAGCCGCGGUAAUACGAAGGGCCCAAGCGUUAAUCGGAAUCACUGGGCUUAGAGGGUGCGCAGGCGGAAUGGUCAGUGUCUUGUGAAAUCCCACGGCUCAACCGUGGAACUGCAGGGCAUACUGCCAUUCUUGAGGCCGGUAGAGGCCGCCGGAACUCUAGGUGUAGCGGUGAAAUGCGUAGAUAUCUAGAGGAACGCCAAAGACGAAGGUAGGCGGCUGGGCCGGUUCUGACGCUCAGGCACGAAAGCGUGGGGAGCAAACAGGAUUAGACACCCUGGUAGUCCACGCCGUAAACGUUGUGCACUAGGUGCUGGAGGUUCUGACACCAUCAGCGCCGAAGCGAAAGUGAUUAGUGCACCGCCUGGGGAGUACGGUCGCAAGGCUAAAACUCAAAGGAAUUGACGGGGGCUCACACAAGCGGUGGAGCAUGUGGCUUAAUUCGAGGCAACGCGAAGAACCUUAUCCUGGGCUUGACAUGCAUGGACUAACGCUGGGAAACCAGCGCCACACUCUUUGAGUGGAACAUGCACAGGUGCUGCAUGGCUGUCGUCAGCUCGUGCUGUGAAGUGUUGGGUUAAGUCCCUUAACGAGCGAAACCCCUGUCGCUAGUUACCAUCAGGUAAUGCUGGGGACUCUAGCGAGACUGCCGGUGUCAAACCGGAGGAAGGCGGGGAUGACGUCAAGUCCUCAUGGCCUUUAUGCCCAGGGCUGCACACGUGCUACAAUGGCGCCGACAGAGCGAAGCAAAACCGCGAGGUAGAGCAAAUCGCAAAAAAGGUGCCCCAGUUCGGAUUGCAGUCUGCAACUCGACUGCAUGAAGCCGGAAUCGCUAGUAAUCGCGUAUCAGCAACGACGCGGUGAUACGUUCCUGAGCCUUGUACACACCGCCCGUCAAGUCAUGGAAGCCGGGAGUACCCGAAGUCGCACCGAUUCAGGUGUGCCGAUGGUAAGCUCGGUGACUGGGACUAAGUC